Molecule: ribosomal RNA, 293 nt
Filed under: uncultured bacterium
Lineage: Bacteria
Description: partial 16S ribosomal RNA
Rfam family: Archaeal small subunit ribosomal RNA
Source: RNAcentral
GUGCCAGCCGCCGCGGUAAUACCGGCAGCCCAAGUGAUGGCCGAUCUUAUUGGGCCUAAAGCGUCCGUAGCUGGCUGCGCAAGUCCGUCGGGAUAUCCACUCGCCCAACGAGUGGGCGUCCGACGGAAACUGCACAGCUUGGGACCGGAAGGCUCGAAGGGUACGUUCGGGGUAGGAGUGAAAUCCCGGAAUCCCGGACGGAAUACCGAUGGCGAAAGCACUCUGAGAAGACGGCUUCGACAGUGAGGGACGAAAGCCAGGGUCUCCAACCGGAUUAGAUACCCCAGUAGUUC